AAAAAGUCUCUACACCCAAGCCAUUUCUGACAGCUGUCCGGGAGAAGGGAGGUUCUGUUAAGAGAAAUCCUGUGCCCCUUCAGAACUUGUCCCAGAAACCCCUCAUACGGUCUCUGAAGGGUUUUUUAAAGUUGAACACACACAGCACAGAAAGCAGGGACUCUUGUAGCCUGGGGAGACAGGAGAUGGUAAGUUGGGGCCACGUGUUGAGAAAGUAACCCUAGUAGUGUCCAGACUUAAAAUGUGCAGACCCAACGAUCCCAGCCUAGGGCUGUGGGCUGAGGAAGUGGGCAAACAAGUCAAAAGACUUCCUUGAAGCUCCUUGUAAUAGUGAAAGGUUGUCAAGUUUUGUUUAACUGAUGCCAAUCAGUUAAUAUAAUGCCCUCACUACAAUAUAACGCCCUCACUACUAAAGAAUCAGUGCUGUAGUAUUUAGUGUGGAAUCUGGAGGCCCUUGGAUGCCCAGUGACCAGAACUUACAGCUGUGUGGUCACAUCCGUCACAUCUGUCUGAGCCCCUGUUCCUGAAGCAGAGGGUCAGGAUGCUGCUACCUCUCCUCCCUCAAAAUUCACAGCUCCCGUAUUCCAGGGGCACCGGGGGAACCAGGCACUGUGGCCUGCACAGUGUUCAUUCAGAGACACGAGCCUUCAGGGGGUUCGUCUAGCUGGGUGCAGGCGAUCAGUGGAGCAACUCCAGACUGUGCUGAACAUCUAAUGCGGGGUGUGCCCCCCACCUACGCUGACCAGCCACAGCUCAGGCGGAGAUGGUUUGCAGAAAGCACCUAGGGGAGCAAAGGAGGAAGGAGACUGGACUCCGGCCAGACAGCCUGGGUUUAAAUUCUAGCUCUGACGCGCACGUGCGCUUGAGCACACACACACACACUCACACUCACAUUCACACUGGCUUUGUGACCUUGAACAAGUUCCUUAACCUCUGGCCUCAAUUUCCUCAUUUGUAAAAUGGAGAUAAUAGGAGUACCUACCUCAUAGGGUUGUUGUGAGGAUUAAAUGAAUUGAUGCUUGCAAAGUGCUUAGGCUAGGACCUAGUAUGUGGGAAGUCUGGACAGGUAUGUUCAAGUGCACAGAGUCUCUCCUGCGCCAUCGUCACCAUGACUUACUUUACAACCAGGAGAAACCCUGUACACGUCAGUGUUUUCAUUUUGAUCAACUCAGAAGUAAUUAAAAUGUACAGUUAAUUAAUGUAGAAGGCCGUGUGCCGGUGGCCUAGCGUGGGAAUGGAGUCUCUGAGUCUGCCACCUGCUUUCAAGGUUGGGGGGAAUGGUGAUUGAGGGAAAACAAGAGAGGUGUUCUCUUGGAGAGCUGGAAGGAG
Lutra lutra (Eurasian river otter) is the source of this 1329-nucleotide long non-coding RNA. RefSeq lists it as uncharacterized. The transcript has 3 exons. Lineage: Eukaryota; Metazoa; Chordata; Mammalia; Carnivora; Mustelidae. The record is from RefSeq and is a predicted model, not a curated record.